GGGACAGCGGCCUUAGAGCUGAAGCCGGAUUGGCGCCCGCGUGCCAAGUACCCUUGUGACUGUGCUUAUCCACAGCCAAGACUAGGGGUGAUCCGCAUGCCGGUGCACUGCGCCUCCUAACCUGCGUCCACACGCCUUUCAGGACCCCAGGGCUGAGGUGCACAGCUGGUCUGCCUGCUUCUGACUUGAUCCCCUUCAGUGGGUUCAACACAGAACAGCUGCAUCUAGCUUUCUAAUGAUCCUGUUCUCAAGCUUGAGUCCCCUGAACUGCACCUGUGCCUUCUUAGGAUGGAUAUCCCCUCACUUACUGACCGAGGAAGGGUGAACAGUACCAACACCUGCCCACACCCUGAGCAAGACAACUCUUUCAUGCCUUCCUCCAUCUCUGGCCCAAUCCUUUCACCCUCUGUAUGGGGUCAUUUCCUCCAGAAACUGUUUUUCAAGACAGGGUCUCAAUUUGUAGCUCAGGCUAUCCUGGAACUCACUGGGCUUUGAGCUCAAGACCACCCUGCCUCUAACUACUGGAGCACCAAUGUACUUAAUAAACCACAUUUAUUGUGUGUUAGCCACUUAGGCUGAAUGCUCUGCAUCUUUCCAGGACAUCCCUUUCUAAUUGUCAAUCAUCUUGACAUCUGUGUAAAUUUCCUUGGGAUAGAAACAUUGUCUUGUUUACCAUUGAUUCUCUUGGCACACUGUAAAAACAAGCCUCCCUUUUUUAUUAUACAGAAGGAAUAUAAUUUGUCCUUAGAAACCAACCUUUAAAAUUUGUCCCAUACUCUGCAAGAUGACAUCUUGAUCCAAGGUGGAUGUUUGCUCUCCAACUAUUACGUCCACAGCCAAUGCAAGCAUCAGAAAGAAUGAAGACUGAAGAGCAUUUGACCUGUCUUGUUUACGGAGCCAUCCCAGAAAGUAUGUAUGAAGGACAAAUUAACUGAGAGAGGAACAAUCCGUCUACACCACAUAUUCAAAAGAAUGCCAACAACAGCUAGGCAUGGGGUGAUGCUUAAUAUUAAUUGUCGACUUGACAGGAUCUACAGUUACUUAAACAACACACUUCCAGGUGUGUAUGUGAAAAAGGUACUAAAUUGAGUUAACUGAGUUGGGAAGACUCAUCCUAAAUGUGGAUGGCACCAUUCUAUGAUCUGGAGGCAUAGGCUGUAUAAAAGGGAGAAAGCAAGCUGAACACCAUCAUUUGUCUACUUCUUCUUCUUCUUGACUAUGGAUGCAAUGUGGCUGAAUGUUUCACACACCUUCUGCCAUGCCUUCUCCACUGUGAUAGUCUAGAUGCUCAAACUGUGUGUCAAAGCAAACCCCUCCUUAAAUUGUUUUCAUUAGGUAUUUUUCCACAGCAGCUAGAAAAGUAACUAACACAGAUGGUUGCUUUUAUUAAGAUGCCUAUCACUAGUUGGUCCUGUAAAAAACAGUAAAAGAAAACAAAUGGAAAAGUAUGAUUACUUCAAAC
Molecule: long non-coding RNA, 1462 nt
Filed under: Cricetulus griseus (Chinese hamster)
Lineage: Eukaryota; Metazoa; Chordata; Mammalia; Rodentia; Cricetidae
Description: lncRNA (ENSCGRG00015031268.1)
Source: RNAcentral